Molecule: ribosomal RNA, 609 nt
Filed under: uncultured Actinomycetes bacterium
Lineage: Bacteria; Bacillati; Actinomycetota; Actinomycetes
Description: bacterial SSU rRNA
Rfam family: Bacterial small subunit ribosomal RNA
Source: RNAcentral
GAACCAGGGCUUGCCCUGGGGCCAAGCCGCGAACGGGUGAGUAACACGUGAGUAACCUGCCCCGAUGACCGGGACAACCCGAGGAAACUCGGGCUAAUACCGGAUGUGGCGCACGGACGUAAGUCCGUUCGCUAAAGGAAGCUUCGGCCUCCGCAUUGGGAGGGGCUCGCGGCCCAUUAGCUUGUUGGUGGGGUUACGGCCUACCAAGGCGACGAUGGGUAGCUGGUCUGAGAGGACGAUCAGCCACACUGGGACUGAGACACGGCCCAGACUCCUACGGGAGGCAGCAGUGGGGAAUCUUGCGCAAUGCGCGAAAGCGUGACGCAGCAACGCCGCGUGGGGGAAGACGGCCUUCGGGUUGUAAACCCCUUUCAGGAGGGACGAAGGCUCACCGGUGAAUAGCCGUGUGAGUUGACGGUACCUCCAGAAGAAGCUCCGGCUAACUACGUGCCAGCAGCCGCGGUAAUACGUAGGGAGCAAGCGUUGUCCGGAAUCAUUGGGCGUAAAGCGCACGUAGGCGGCCCUAUAAGUCCGCUGUGAAAGUCAAAGGCUCAACCUUUGAAAGCCGGUGGAUACUGUAGGGCUAGAGUCCGGAAGAGGCGAGUGGAA